RNAcentral lists this ribosomal RNA (440 nucleotides) under uncultured Herminiimonas sp. Its description in RNAcentral is "bacterial SSU rRNA". It matches the Rfam family "Bacterial small subunit ribosomal RNA", at positions 358 to 790 of the family's 1533-position model. Lineage: Bacteria; Pseudomonadati; Pseudomonadota; Betaproteobacteria; Burkholderiales; Oxalobacteraceae. The record is from RNAcentral.
GGAAUUUUGGACAAUGGGCGCAAGCCUGAUCCAGCAAUGCCGCGUGAGUGAAGAAGGCCUUCGGGUUGUAAAGCUCUUUUGUCAGGGAAGAAACGGUGGACUCUAAUACAGAUCACUAAUGACGGUACCUGAAGAAUAAGCACCGGCUAACUACGUGCCAGCAGCCGCGGUAAUACGUAGGGUGCAAGCGUUAAUCGGAAUUACUGGGCGUAAAGCGUGCGCAGGCGGUUUGGUAAGACAGAUGUGAAAUCCCCGGGCUCAACCUGGGAAUUGCAUUUGUGACUGCCCGGCUAGAGUGUGUCAGAGGGGGGUAGAAUUCCACGUGUAGCAGUGAAAUGCGUAGAGAUGUGGAGGAAUACCGAUGGCGAAGGCAGCCCCCUGGGAUAACACUGACGCUCAUGCACGAAAGCGUGGGGAGCAAACAGGAUUAGAUACCCUGG